GAAGGUUUCGUGGCCCUUCGAAGCCGCCCUGCGGGGGAGGCUUCAUGCCACCUCAUGCCGCGUUGGUUGAAGACCGUCGUGGUGAGCGAUGAGGAAAGGUGCCGUAAGAGGCGUCAGGU
This 119-nucleotide non-coding RNA is filed under the name Streptomyces sp. DvalAA-43. Lineage: Bacteria; Bacillati; Actinomycetota; Actinomycetes; Kitasatosporales; Streptomycetaceae. The record is from RNAcentral.